Molecule: ribosomal RNA, 393 nt
Filed under: Triticum aestivum (bread wheat)
Lineage: Eukaryota; Viridiplantae; Streptophyta; Magnoliopsida; Poales; Poaceae
Description: partial small subunit ribosomal RNA
Source: RNAcentral
AUGCCUACUUUUUUUGAAACAUUUCCGGUCGUUUUGGUAGAUGAACAAGUAGGUGUAACGGUGGAGUUCUAUGGCGGCGAACUUAAUGGAGUAAGUUAUGCUAAUCCUGCUACUGUAAAAAAAUAUGCGAGGCGUUCUCAAUUAGGGGAAAUUUUUGAAUUAGAUCGGGCUACUUUGAAAUCUGAUGGUGUUUUUCGCAGCAGUCCAAGGGGUUGGUUCACUUUUGGUCAUGCUACCUUUGCUUUGCUCUUCUUUUUUGGACACAUUUGGCAUGGCGCUAGAACAUUGUUCCGAGAUGUUUUUGCUGGUAUUGAUCCAGAUUUGGAUGCUCAAGUGGAAUUUGGAACAUUCCAAAAAGUGGGAGAUCCAACUACAAGGAAACAGGCAGUCUGA